GGUUAAGCGACUAAGCGUACACGGUGGAUGCCCUGGCAGUCAGAGGCGAUGAAGGGCGUGCUAAUCUGCGAUAAGCGCCGGUAAGGUGAUAUGAACCGUUAUAACCGGCGAUACCCGAAUGGGGAAACCCAGUGUGACUCGUCACACUAUCAUUAACUGAAUCCAUAGGUUAAUGAGGCGAACCGGGGGAACUGAAACAUCUAAGUACCCCGAGGAAAAGAAAUCAACCGAGAUUCCCCCAGUAGCGGCGAGCGAACGGGGAGGAGCCCAGAGCCUGAAUCAGCAUGUGUGUUAGUGGAAGCGUCUGGAAAGGCGCGCGAUACAGGGUGACAGCCCCGUACACAAAAGCGCAUGUGCUGUGAGCUCGAUGAGUAGGGCGGGACACGUGGUAUCCUGUCUGAAUAUGGGGGGACCAUCCUCCAAGGCUAAAUACUCCUGACUGACCGAUAGUGAACCAGUACCGUGAGGGAAAGGCGAAAAGAACCCCGGCGAGGGGAGUGAAAAAGAACCUGAAACCGUGUACGUACAAGCAGUGGGAGCACCCUUUGGGGUGUGACUGCGUACCUUUUGUAUAAUGGGUCAGCGACUUAUAUUCUGUAGCAAGGUUAACCGAAUAGGGGAGCCGGAGGGAAACCGAGUCUUAAUUGGGCGUUAAGUUGCAGGGUAUAGACCCGAAACCCGGUGAUCUAGCCAUGGGCAGGUUGAAGGUUGGGUAACACUAACUGGAGGACCGAACCGACUAAUGUUGAAAAAUUAGCGGAUGACCUGUGGCUGGGGGUGAAAGGCCAAUCAAACCGGGAGAUAGCUGGUUCUCCCCGAAAGCUAUUUAGGUAGCGCCUCGUGAAUUCAUCUCCGGGGGUAGAGCACUGUUUCGGCUAGGGGGCCAUCCCGGCUUACCAACCCGAUGCAAACUGCGAAUACCGGAGAAUGUUAUCACGGGAGACACACGGCGGGUGCUAACGUCCGUCGUGAAGAGGGAAACAACCCAGACCGCCAGCUAAGGUCCCAAAGUCAUGGUUAAGUGGGAAACGAUGUGGGAAGGCCCAGACAGCCAGGAUGUUGGCUUAGAAGCAGCCAUCAUUUAAAGAAAGCGUAAUAGCUCACUGGUCGAGUCGGCCUGCGCGGAAGAUGUAACGGGGCUAAACCAUGCACCGAAGCUGCGGCAGCGACACUCAGGUGUUGUUGGGUAGGGGAGCGUUCUGUAAGCCUGCGAAGGUGGCCUGUGAGGGUUGCUGGAGGUAUCAGAAGUGCGAAUGCUGACAUAAGUAACGAUAAAGCGGGUGAAAAGCCCGCUCGCCGGAAGACCAAGGGUUCCUGUCCAACGUUAAUCGGGGCAGGGUGAGUCGACCCCUAAGGCGAGGCCGAAAGGCGUAGUCGAUGGGAAACGGGUUAAUAUUCCCGUACUUGGUGUUACUGCGAAGGGGGGACGGAGAAGGCUAUGUUGGCCGGGCGACGGUUGUCCCGGUUUAAGCGUGUAGGCUGGUUUUCCAGGCAAAUCCGGAAAAUCAAGGCUGAGGCGUGACGACGAGGCACUACGGUGCUGAAGCAACAAAUGCCCUGCUUCCAGGAAAAGCCUCUAAGCAUCAGGUAACAUCAAAUCGUACCCCAAACCGACACAGGUGGUCAGGUAGAGAAUACCAAGGCGCUUGAGAGAACUCGGGUGAAGGAACUAGGCAAAAUGGUGCCGUAACUUCGGGAGAAGGCACGCUGACAUGUAGGUGAAGUGAUUUACUCAUGGAGCUGAAGUCAGUCGAAGAUACCAGCUGGCUGCAACUGUUUAUUAAAAACACAGCACUGUGCAAACACGAAAGUGGACGUAUACGGUGUGACGCCUGCCCGGUGCCGGAAGGUUAAUUGAUGGGGUCAGCGCAAGCGAAGCUCCUGAUCGAAGCCCCGGUAAACGGCGGCCGUAACUAUAACGGUCCUAAGGUAGCGAAAUUCCUUGUCGGGUAAGUUCCGACCUGCACGAAUGGCGUAAUGAUGGCCAGGCUGUCUCCACCCGAGACUCAGUGAAAUUGAACUCGCUGUGAAGAUGCAGUGUACCCGCGGCAAGACGGAAAGACCCCGUGAACCUUUACUAUAGCUUGACACUGAACAUUGAGCCUUGAUGUGUAGGAUAGGUGGGAGGCUUUGAAGUGUGGACGCCAGUCUGCAUGGAGCCGGCCUUGAAAUACCACCCUUUAAUGUUUGAUGUUCUAACGUGGACCCGUAAUCCGGGUUGCGGACAGUGUCUGGUGGGUAGUUUGACUGGGGCGGUCUCCUCCUAAAGAGUAACGGAGGAGCACGAAGGUUGGCUAAUCCUGGUCGGACAUCAGGAGGUUAGUGCAAUGGCAUAAGCCAGCUUGACUGCGAGCGUGACGGCGCGAGCAGGUGCGAAAGCAGGUCAUAGUGAUCCGGUGGUUCUGAAUGGAAGGGCCAUCGCUCAACGGAUAAAAGGUACUCCGGGGAUAACAGGCUGAUACCGCCCAAGAGUUCAUAUCGACGGCGGUGUUUGGCACCUCGAUGUCGGCUCAUCACAUCCUGGGGCUGAAGUAGGUCCCAAGGGUAUGGCUGUUCGCCAUUUAAAGUGGUACGCGAGCUGGGUUUAGAACGUCGUGAGACAGUUCGGUCCCUAUCUGCCGUGGGCGCUGGAGAACUGAGGGGGGCUGCUCCUAGUACGAGAGGACCGGAGUGGACGCAUCACUGGUGUUCGGGUUGUCAUGCCAAUGGCACUGCCCGGUAGCUAAAUGCGGAAGAGAUAAGUGCUGAAAGCAUCUAAGCACGAAACUUGCCCCGAGAUGAGUUCUCCCUGAGACUUUAGGUCUCCUGAAGGAACGUUGAAGACGACGACGUUGAUAGGCCGGGUGUGUAAGCGCAGCGAUGCGUUGAGCUAACCGGUACUAAUGAACCGUGAGGCUUAACCUU
This 2904-nucleotide ribosomal RNA is filed under the name Salmonella enterica subsp. enterica serovar Rubislaw. RNAcentral describes it as "23S ribosomal RNA". It matches the Rfam family "Bacterial large subunit ribosomal RNA". The record is from RNAcentral. Lineage: Bacteria; Pseudomonadati; Pseudomonadota; Gammaproteobacteria; Enterobacterales; Enterobacteriaceae. RNAcentral also lists the same sequence under 1 other name.